This is a non-coding RNA of Leptopilina boulardi, 71 nucleotides long. The record is from the annotation of a RefSeq genome assembly. NCBI's taxonomy places the organism in Eukaryota, Metazoa, Arthropoda, Insecta, Hymenoptera, Figitidae.
GUUGAAAUAGUGUAGAGGGAACACGUGAGACUAUAAAUCUCAAAUCCCUGGUUCAAUCCCGGGUCUCGACA